This 72-nucleotide transfer RNA is filed under the name Anneissia japonica. Its description in RNAcentral is "tRNA-Asp". It matches the Rfam family "tRNA". Rfam says of the family: Transfer RNA (tRNA) molecules are approximately 80 nucleotides in length. Their secondary structure includes four short double-helical elements and three loops (D, anti-codon, and T loops). Further hydrogen bonds mediate the characteristic L-shaped molecular structure. tRNAs have two regions of fundamental functional importance: the anti-codon, which is responsible for specific mRNA codon recognition, and the 3' end, to which the tRNAs corresponding amino acid is attached (by aminoacyl-tRNA synthetases). tRNAs cope with the degeneracy of the genetic code in two manners: having more than one tRNA (with a specific anti-codon) for a particular amino acid; and 'wobble' base-pairing, i.e. permitting non-standard base-pairing at the 3rd anti-codon position. Lineage: Eukaryota; Metazoa; Echinodermata; Crinoidea; Comatulida; Comatulidae. The record is from RNAcentral.
UCCUUGGUAGUAUAGUGGUGAGUAUCUCCGCCUGUCAACCGGAAGACCGGGGUUCAAUUCCCCACCAGGGAG